GCGUAUGAGGAGCCAUGCAU
RNAcentral lists this small nuclear RNA (20 nucleotides) under Arabidopsis thaliana (thale cress). RNAcentral describes it as "snRNA_05792". Lineage: Eukaryota; Viridiplantae; Streptophyta; Magnoliopsida; Brassicales; Brassicaceae. The record is from RNAcentral.